AUUGAACGCUGGCGGCAUGCCUUACACAUGCAAGUCGAACGGCAGCGCGGGGCAACCUGGCGGCGAGUGGCGAACGGGUGAGUAAUAUAUCGGAACGUACCCUGGAGUGGGGGAUAACGUAGCGAAAGUUACGCUAAUACCGCAUACGAUCUAAGGAUGAAAGUGGGGAUCGCAAGACCUCAUGCUCCUGGAGCGGCCGAUAUCUGAUUAGCUAGUUGGAGGUAAAGCCUACCAAGGCAUCGAUCAGUAGCUGGUCUGAGAGGACGACCAGCCACACUGGAACUGAGACACGGUCCAGACUCCUACGGGAGGCAGCAGUGGGAAUUUUGGACAAUGGGGCAACCCUGAUCAGCAAUGCCGCGUGAGUGAAGAAGG
Molecule: ribosomal RNA, 375 nt
Filed under: uncultured bacterium
Lineage: Bacteria
Description: bacterial SSU rRNA
Rfam family: Bacterial small subunit ribosomal RNA
Source: RNAcentral